GACGAACGCUGGCGGCAUGCCUAACACAUGCAAGUCGAGCGAGUAGAUCCCUUCGGGGUGAAGCUAGCGGCGGACGGGUGAGUAUCACGUGGGCAACCUGCCUCAUAGAGGGGAAUAGCCUUCCGAAAGGAAGAUUAAUACCGCAUAAGAUUGUAGUACCGCAUGGUAUAGCAAUUAAAGGAGUAAUCCGCUAUGAGAUGGGCCCGCGGCGCAUUAGCUAGUUGGUGAGGUGACGGCUCACCAAGGCGACGAUGCGUAGCCGACCUGAGAGGGUGAUCGGCCACAUUGGGACUGAGACACGGCCCAGACUCCUACGGGAGGCAGCAGUGGGGAAUAUUGCACAAUGGGGGAAACCCUGAUGCAGCAAUGCCGCGUGAGUGAUGACGGCCUUCGGGUUGUAAAGCUCUGUCUUCGGGGACGAUAAUGACGGUACCCGAGGAGGAAGCCACGGCUAACUACGUGCCAGCAGCCGCGGUAA
RNAcentral lists this ribosomal RNA (478 nucleotides) under uncultured bacterium. RNAcentral's name for it is "partial 16S ribosomal RNA". It matches the Rfam family "Bacterial small subunit ribosomal RNA", at positions 28 to 523 of the family's 1533-position model. The record is from RNAcentral.